GUAGGGAAUAUUGGGCAAUGGAUGCAAGUCUGACCCAGCCAUGCCGCGUGGAGGAAGAAGGUCCUCUGGAUUGUAAACUCCUUUUAUGGGGGAAGAAUAGUUCUCUUGCGAGGGAAUGUGACGGUACCCUAAGAAUAAGCCACGGCUAACUACGUGCCAGCAGCCGCGGUAAUACGUAGGUGGCAAGCGUUGUCCGGAUUUAUUGGGUUUAAAGGGUGCGUAGGUGGUUUGAUAAGUCAGUGGUGAAAGCUGGUUGCUCAACAAUCAAGUUGCCAUUGAUACUGUCGGACUUGAGAGAAGUGGAGGUUCAUGGAAUGGAUGGUGUAGCGGUGAAAUGCAUAGAUAUCAUCCAGAACGUCGAUUGCGAAGGCAGUGGGCUGUACUUUAUCUGACACUGAGGCACGAAAGUGUGGGGAUCAAACAGGAUUAGAAACCCGAGUAGUCC
Molecule: ribosomal RNA, 445 nt
Filed under: uncultured bacterium
Lineage: Bacteria
Description: bacterial SSU rRNA
Rfam family: Bacterial small subunit ribosomal RNA
Source: RNAcentral